Molecule: transfer RNA, 71 nt
Filed under: Loxodonta africana (African savanna elephant)
Lineage: Eukaryota; Metazoa; Chordata; Mammalia; Proboscidea; Elephantidae
Rfam family: tRNA
About the family: Transfer RNA (tRNA) molecules are approximately 80 nucleotides in length.
Source: Rfam by way of RNAcentral
ACAGCGGUGGUUCAGUGGUGGAAUUCUCGCCUUCCACGCGAGAGACCUGGGUUCGAUUCCCAGCCAGUGCA